GGUGAGUAAUAUAUAGUUAAUCUGCCCCAAAGAAGAGAAUAAUUGUUGGAAACGACUUGUAAUGCUCUAUAUGCCUUUAUUACAUAAGUAAGCAAGGGAAACAUUUAUGGCUUUGGGAUGAGACUGUACGGUAUCAGCUAGUUGGUGAGGUAAUGGCUCACCAAGGCUAUGACAUCUAACUGGUUUGAGAGGAUGAUCAGUCACACUGGAACUGAGACACGGUCCAGACUCCUACGGGAGGCAGCAGUGGGGAAUAUUGCACAAUGGAGGAAACUCUGAUGCAGCAACGCCGCGUGGAGGAUGACACAUUUCGGUGCGUAAACUCCUUUUAUAUGAGAAGAUAAUGACGGUAUCAUAUGAAUAAGCACCGGCUAACUUCGUGCCAGCAGCCGCGGUAAUACGAGGGGUGCAAGCGUUACUCGGAAUCACUGGGCGUAAAGAGCAUGUAGGCGGGUAGUUAAGUUGGAAGUGAAAUCCUAUGGCUCAACCAUAGAACUGCUUCCAAAACUGAUUAUCUAGAGUAUGGGAGAGGUAGAUGGAAUUUCUGGUGUAGGGG
This 556-nucleotide ribosomal RNA is filed under the name uncultured bacterium. Its description in RNAcentral is "bacterial SSU rRNA". It matches the Rfam family "Bacterial small subunit ribosomal RNA", at positions 105 to 681 of the family's 1533-position model. The record is from RNAcentral.